Molecule: long non-coding RNA, 386 nt
Organism: Mauremys reevesii (Reeves's turtle)
Lineage: Eukaryota; Metazoa; Chordata; Testudines; Geoemydidae
Exons: 3
Source: RefSeq, a predicted model, not a curated record
GAUCUCUCUGAGGCAGAUUGAGGAAGGCUGAGCUCUAGCUGGGAAGCGCUGGGCAUGGCUGCUUGGUGGAGAGAGAGACUGGGACAGAAGAAAUGCAGGACUAGCUGGAGACGCCAAAGCUGAGUGUUUCUUCAUCCAACACACGCCACUCCAAGAGCUUCCAGCAAGCAACCAUGAGGAAGGGAGAAGAGAAUAUCUUCACACUCCAGUGCUAUGAAAUGACAGCUGGAAAGAAGACUUGAGAGCAAGGCCUGCCUAUGCUAGAGAGGGGUAAAUUGAAGCAAGGGGCUCCCUAGUGGACUGAAUCAAUUACUGCAGAUUGGAAAAGGAGGUUAUAGACAAGAAGUGAGAUUUACAUAUAGAUGCUCGAUUGGUCACUAACUGAG